RNAcentral lists this ribosomal RNA (496 nucleotides) under uncultured bacterium. Its description in RNAcentral is "partial 16S ribosomal RNA". It matches the Rfam family "Bacterial small subunit ribosomal RNA", at positions 28 to 506 of the family's 1533-position model. The record is from RNAcentral.
GAUGAACGCUGGCGGCGUGCCUAAUACAUGCAAGUCGAGCGAACAGACGAGGAGCUUGCUCCUCUGACGUUAGCGGCGGACGGGUGAGUAACACGUGGAUAACCUACCUAUAAGACUGGGAUAACUUCGGGAAACCGGAGCUAAUACCGGAUAAUAUAUUGAACCGCAUGGUUCAAUAGUGAAAGACGGUUUUGCUUUCACUUAUAGAUGGAUCCGCGCCGCAUUAGCUAGUUGGUAAGGUAACGGCUUACCAAGGCGACGAUGCGUAGCCGACCUGAGAGGGUGAUCGGCCACACUGGAACUGAGACACGGUCCAGACUCCUACGGGAGGCAGCAGUAGGGAAUCUUCCGCAAUGGGCGAAAGCUUGACGGAGCAACGCCGCGUGAGUGAUGAAGGUCUUCGGAUCGUAAAACUCUGUUAUUAGGGAAGAACAAAUGUGUAAGUAACUAUGCACGUCUUGACGGUACCUAAUCAGAAAGCCACGGCUAACUACGU